Tripterygium wilfordii is the source of this 81-nucleotide small nucleolar RNA. RefSeq annotates it as small nucleolar RNA snoR64a. NCBI's taxonomy places the organism in Eukaryota, Viridiplantae, Streptophyta, Magnoliopsida, Celastrales, Celastraceae. The record is from RefSeq and is a predicted model, not a curated record. The transcript has a single exon.
UGAAUAUGCCGAAAUUGUUGAAUACUCGAGCUUCGGGCUUGGGUUCUAUGAUUCAUAUUUUCGAAUAGGAAGAUCUGAUGC